CGGCAGCUGGCGUGCGCGCUCCCGUCCGGCGCUGGCCUCCGCGGUGACUUCGACGGGAUUUUGUGAGCCAUAAGAUGAACAGCUCUGCACUGCCACACCACACACUCCCUGCCAUGGAGUGCUUCCUGGUCCCAGAGCCCAAAGCAGCAGGGCCUCCUAUUGUGGACCGGAAUCUGCAAAACCUGUUUGCCCUGAAGUUGGAAGACUGACUGUAUGGUGCUUCCCAAGAACACUUGCUGCAAGGCUGAAUUUUUGGAGAAAGACUUUGAGGCUGACCAGACAUGCAGGAGGCUGAUUAGAGACUGCUCUUGGGACAGAGGCCCGUGGAAAAGGAUUGAAGUGGGAGAAGGGGAAUGGGGGGAAGAGAUCUGAGAUGCAAAUCCCCUUGGGAAAUGUGAAACUAGGGAGAGGGUGUUGAGCCUUCACACCCUCAUCCCUGUCUGUCAUUGGAUGCAGGCCACCCCAGGAAGGGAGUGUACCCUGAGGCAGGGAGAGCACAUGGCCUGUUGCUGGGUAAAGAGUUUCUGCCUCUGAUGGGGGCCUAAGGCACGCAACAGUGCAUGCAUCACAGUCCCCCUCUUACUGCAUGGACCCUUCCUCCAUCCACGUCUGGGAGCUGCUUCUCCAGGAUCCAGGUAAACCCCUCCUCCCAGCAGAAACCCAAAAGGGAAGAGAAGGGAAUGUGGAGGAAAUCAGCAAUGGUGAGGCCAUUGCACCUGGUCUUGGGACCCCACUGAUACCUGUUGUUUCCCUCCUUUACAUUGAGUCCAUGGCCAACACACUAUACUUUCUGCCUUAGCAGAAACUUUAUCUACUGCACAUAUUUCCCUGUAAGGCACAGUGCCACUUUCUCACACUUGGGAACACUAGACAGCACUUCAGCCCUGCAGAUGGGAGACAUUUUAAAUGACAACAUCAACAAAACCCACAAAACUGCAAAAGAAUGUGUCACUAAAUGAACCGUGAGGAGGACACCUAUUUGUAGCAGGAAAGCUGAAACAUGAAAGCAGAGUGUCACCUGUUCCAGCAGAGUGUGGCAGCAUCCACCUCAGCUCCAGGAGAGUUGACUCAAACUUUUUGCCACCCUACACAUACACAUGGUCUUGAAAGCCUGCAGAAGGGCCCUUGGUAUUGAUUUUGAAGUUAUAAAUAAAUUUUAGUUUGUGGUGAAUCUUUAAACACAGAAUCCAAGCCAGGCAUGUUGCUGGACACUUAUAAUCUGAGCACUCUGGGAGGCAGAGACAGGAAGAUUGCAAGUUUGAGCCCAGCCUGGAAAACUUAGUGAGACUCAGAGAGACCCUGUCUACAAAUAAAAAAGUAAAAAGAGCUGGGACUGUAGCUCAGUGCAAAAGCUCUGGGUUAAAUCCCUAGUACUAGGAAAAAACAAAAAACAAUCCAAGAAUAAUAAGGAUUGCACACAUAUAUAGGUUUGACAUGUUAGAUAAAAGGAUAUAUCUCUCAAGAGACAAAAAAUGAAAUAAAAAUCAGAAGCCAGGCAUGGUAGUGCAUGCCUGGAAUCC
Heterocephalus glaber (naked mole-rat) is the source of this 1520-nucleotide non-coding RNA. Lineage: Eukaryota; Metazoa; Chordata; Mammalia; Rodentia; Bathyergidae. The record is from RefSeq and is a predicted model, not a curated record.